GUUAUCACCUUGAUUACUUUGCUUUAGCAUUUUAUUUGCGUUUCCUUUUUUAUCGUGAUUUCGACAGUCAAUAAUACAAUAUUAUUAUGACUGUGUGCAUCGCCUAAUUUCGCCAAAAUAAUAAUUCGUUUUCCUGUCCGUGUCGUGCUUACUUUUGUUACUUGUUGCGUUUUUGUAGAUAGAUUGCAAUUGAAUAAAAUAUUACGAGCGCGUUGUCCGUGAAUUCGUAAUUCAUUGAGAAAUAAGCUAAAACGAACCAAAAAUGGAUACAGAUAAAUACAUUACGAUUGUUCCUGUUGAGUAUCCUCGAAACAGGCAACAGUUCAUACGACCUCCCGAUGAAUAUAGUGACUUUCCUCAAAACCGGAAUUGGCCCCAUACUAGAGCAGUAAGGACCGAAUCAAGUACUAUGCGAAGGAAAGAACUGAAACGAUCAUUGGAACACAAAAGAUCUCAUAAUCAUUCUCGUAAUGAUCCAAUACAGUCGUGUUCCAAGCCAAUAAUAAGUGCUCCACUAGCAUUUCAAACCGCUCCAAAGCCUGUAAAGAAACCACUUAGUGUGUAUAUUUACACAAUGGCUGAUAUAGUCUUACAUAUGGAUAUAGAAGAUGCAAACACAACUACAGUUUCAGAUCUUGUUGAUAUUAUAAUACAGCAAAACAAUUUGGGAUUAUCAAGAAUUGCUAAGAAUAUUUUUACAAUUUGGAUGAAAUCAAACGUUUUAGAAAUUCAGUUAAAACCACAUCACAAAUUAUUGACAGUUUUUCAAAAAUGGCACACACUUGAAGAAAAAUAUUGCAUUCAAGACAAAAAAGUUAUUUUCAAGGAACCCAUUUUGAGUUUUCAAAGAAAUGUUUUUUUUCCUAGAAAAGAUGAAGAAAAAAUUAAGGAUCAAAAAAUUAUUGAGCUACUGUACGCUGAAGCUAAAUAUAAUGUAUUACAAGGUCGGUAUCCUGUUGAAGUAAACCACUGUUUGAUGUUAGCUAGUUUGCAGUGCCGAAUAGAAUUAGGUCCAAACAAUUUACAACAGUACACCUCAAGUUUUUUUAGAGAUAACCGGGAAAAAUUUUUACCAUCCCAUCUAUACAAAAGUUGGUCUUCAUGGUUAAAUCUUGAUAGAAAAAGUACACCUCAUUCUCGGCUUGCAGACCAUUUAAAACAUAUACAGAUAACUGGAUCUGAUCGUAGACUUUACCACAAAUAUUUGGAGUGCUGUUACAUGCUACCGUUUUAUGGGUGUGCUUUUUUCCAUGGUCAAAUUGAACAACCUGUUCGAGGUUUGAUGUCUUUAAUUAACCAUAAAGAUGUUCCUAUUUACAUCGCAGUCAACACUGAAGGAGUUUAUAUCUUGGACACUGUGGAAAAUAGUUUAUUGUUGGGCCUUAAGUAUCAAGAUUUUUCUUGGGAAUUUGCUAAGCCAUCUCAAGAAGAUAAUGAUCAUUGUUUACCUUGUAUAUUUUUACAGUUUUUAGUAUUAGAAAAUGGAACAAGAGUUUCAAAAAUUUUACAAGUGUUUUCUAAACAAGCUGUCAUGAUAGAUGCACUAAUUGCGUGUUUUGUUGAAGAUUUUAGACACAAAUUAGCUAUGAACGAAUAUGACGAUGUAGAUAGAACUGGCGGCUUUGAACACAUUUCUGUUGGAGAUGGAUCUCAAAUACCUUUGGCACAUUUGUUCCGCAGUGAACCACAAUCUCGAUUGUGUAAUAAACUAAAUAAGUUGACAUUGGCUACAUUUGAUGAAGAUGGUAUGUUGGUUUAUAAUAAUCAUUCAUAUUAAACAGAUUAUCUUUUUAUAGUUUGUUUGCAUGUAUUCAUCAUUUAGAAAGUUGUUUAUACUAUAGUUAAUAUUGAUCACACACAAUUAUGCAUGGUUUGUAGACUAUUUAUAAAUUUAAUCUACGGCGAUGAACUAAAGUCAUUGUAUUGGACAAAUGGGAUCUUGGUCAUUCAGCUACUAAGUGGAUACUUAAUACAAUAUAUACUUUAAUUUUUUUUCUAUUGAUCUCUAUACUGCCAUCCUUUUGUUGAAAUCAAAUUUCUUCUACUUCUUAUCAUUGGAUACUUACUAUUGUAUCAAUAUAAAAUGUGUGUGAUAACCUUUACCUAGUCAAUUUUAGUUACUUAUGUUUUAUUUGAAUUUAAAUUAAGUUUUAAAGAGUUUUUAAGUAGGUUUAUAUAUUUUAAUGUAGUUACCACCAAUUGUAAUAAAUUAUUAAAGAUUCAACAACAAACAUUUACAUGCGUUUGUUAUGGGCAACUCAUUAAAACAUUAUUUUUCCAGGGCAGAGUAAUGCAUUUCUCAGUCAAUAUAUACUUUGUCUUUAGUAAAUAGGGCAUGCAAAUUUUAACUACAAAAAAAAAAAUAAAAAUGGCCAUUCAAUUAAAUUACCAACUUUAAAGAGAUACAAUGUUUUUGUCAAUGUAGUACUCACUGAUUUAUAUAGCUAGCAUUCUUUUAUUAAGUAAUAAAAUAGAAUUAUACUCUAUUAAACACAAGAAAUAACUUGGGAGGCUCACUUGUGCAUAUGACAUUGUUUUGUGCAUUGAUUGUUAAUGGUUGAUUGUAAGGAAAACAGUUGCUUGUGGCCUGCACAUCACUGAUAAAGCCAGUUGCCAACCAGGUCGCUCCUUAUAUUGAAUAGUGUGCAAUACUAGGGCUCAGAAGUCGAUGAACUUAAAAACAUUAAAAAUUGCCCUAAUAAAAUCUAAAUAAGACAUAAAAAGUACAAAAUAGGAGAGCAUCAUCUAAAAAGUUCGAGAUAUUUCAUCUUAAAAGUUAAUAUGAUCACUUAUAAAUAUGGCUCAAAUUUAUAUGUAUUUAUUUAACCAAAGUAUGCAUUUAUACAACAAAAAUAUGCACAUUAACAUGCGCUAAAAAUUCAUGAUAUGUAUUAGCAAAAAAAAAAAAAUGUAUCCAACUACCUAAUUAUUUUGAUUACAAUUAAUAAUAACAUGCAUAUUUAAAUUUUUGAAUUUGAUUUAAUAAUGGGCAACUUGAUUUUAAUUUUUAGAAUAUUGUUACUAUUAUAUAUUUUGUAAUUUUAGGUAUUUUUGAAUUAAGUUAUCAUUCAUUUUUUGUAGUAUCACAGCCUUGACGAGGACUGCUGAGCAUUGCUACCACCAAAAUAUUAUUUAUUACAAUUACAAUCAUACAUAAAAUAUGUGUAAUACUACUACUUAUGCUGUGCGUUUAUGAACAAUAUUAUGUUCAAAUUAAAUUAAAAUGGUAUAUAUAUACAUAUAAAAAUGUAAAUAUUACAUAGUUAACUAAAACUAAGUAUUAAAUAAAUCAAAAAUAACCAUAGUAGUUAUAAUUCUAUAUAUUCUGAGCAAUGCCUAAUUUUUCUUACAUUUCCUAUAAGAUUGGGCAGUACUAUAAUAGCCCAGGAAAUGAAGACAUUGCUC
This is an RNA transcript of Myzus persicae (green peach aphid), 3405 nucleotides long. It is a transcript of the gene named FERM domain-containing protein 8, with no coding region annotated. The transcript is spliced from 11 exons. The record is from RefSeq and is a predicted model, not a curated record. Lineage: Eukaryota; Metazoa; Arthropoda; Insecta; Hemiptera; Aphididae.